AACGAACGCUGGCGGCAUGCCUAACACAUGCAAGUCGAACGAGACCUUCGGGUCUAGUGGCGCACGGGUGCGUAACGCGUGGGAACCUGCCCUUAGGUUCGGAAUAACUCCCCGAAAGGGGUGCUAAUACCGGAUAAUGUCUUCGGACCAAAGAUUUAUCGCCUUUGGAUGGGCCCGCGUUGGAUUAGCUAGUUGGGAGGGUAAAAGCCUACCAAGGCGAAGAUCCAUAGCUGGUCUGAGAGGAUGAUCAGCCACACUGGGACUGAGACACGGCCCAGACUCCUGCGGGAGGCAGCAGUGGGGAAUAUUGGACAAUGGGCGAAAGCCUGAUCCAGCAAUGCCGCGUGAGUGAUGAAGGCCUUAGGGUUGUAAAGCUCUUUUAACCGGGAUGAUAAUGACAGUACCGGGAGAAUAAGCACCGGCUAACUCCGUG
RNAcentral lists this ribosomal RNA (433 nucleotides) under uncultured bacterium. RNAcentral describes it as "partial 16S ribosomal RNA". It matches the Rfam family "Bacterial small subunit ribosomal RNA", at positions 29 to 507 of the family's 1533-position model. The record is from RNAcentral.